CUUUCAACAUUUACCAAGUUUUUCAGUCAGAGCUUCAUUUCAUAAUUUUUUAAAAAUUUAAAAUGAGUAAAAUCUGGAAAGUGAGUGAAGUACAGCAAUAUUAUUGUACAGUCCUAUGACACAUAUACUGGUGAUGGUAUAGAACAAUAACUAUACUCUAUCAGGUUCCUUCAUGUGCUUCUAAUCCCAGAUACCUCUCUUCCCAUUAUAGACACCCUUCCCAGAAGAAGUCACUAUUUUUAAUUCAGUUGCAAUGUAUUAAUUUUGCCAGCUUUUUAAUUUCAUAAAAAAUAAUAUUAUGCAAUGUUAUUUUUUGUGCUGCUUCUUUCACUCAGUUAUAUUUUUAAUAUUCAAGUAUUUUAAUGAAGUAUUUUAUUUUCAUUACUAUUUAACAUUAUACAGUGUAUACCACAGCUUAUUUAUACAUUAUACUUUUAAUGGGCAAUUAGAUUAUUUCCAGUUUGGCCCUUCAAUGAAUAAAGUUGUUAAGAAGCUGUCAGUACUUGUUUUUAGUGGAUAUAUGUCCUCUCUUCUCUGGGAUUUAUAUGUACAUGGAAUAACAGACUUCUCAGGUGGCUCAGUCUGCCAAUGCAGGACACCUGAGUUUGAUCCCUGGGUAGGGAAGAUCACCUGGAGGAGGAAAUAGCAAGUCAUUCCAGUAUUCUUGCCUGGGAAAUCCCAUGGAGAGAGAAGACUGGCGGGCUACCGUCCAUGGGGUCAGAAAUAGUCCAACACGAUGUAGCAACUGAAACAACAACAACAAAGAAUAGAGUAGCUGAGUCAUAGGAUAGGGGUCAUGUAUGGAUGUGAGAGUUGGACUGUGAAGAAAGCUGAGCACUGAAGAAUUGAUGCUUUUGAACUGUGGUGUUGGAGAAGACUCUUGAGAGUCCCUUGGACUGCAAGGAGAUCCAACCAGUCCAUUCUGAAGAUCAGCCCUGGGUGUUCUUUGGAAGGAAUGAUGCUAAAGCUGAAACUCCAGUACUUUGGCCACCUCAUGUGAAGAGUUGACUCAUUGGAAAAGACUCUGAUGCUGGGAGGGAUUGGGGGCAGGAGGAGAAGGGGACGACAGAGGAUGAGAUGGCUGGAUGGCAUCACCUACUUGAUGGACAUAAGUUUGAAUGAACUCCGAGAGUUGGUGAUGGACAGGGAGGCCUGGCAUGCUGUGAUUCAUCGGGUCGCAAAGAGUCGGACACAACUGAGUGACUGAACUGAACUGAACUGAAGGAAGGAUAAAGAAGAAUCUGGCUGAUCAUAAUCUUAUACUUGUUUCACUGCUGAAUUUCAUAUCUUUGACUUAAAUAGGCAAGAUUUGUUCUUUUUGCAGAAACAGUAAAGGCCAUAGUCCACACUACGUCCUUCCCAGUAGAGAAAGGAAUGUAAAUCAAGUACACACUAUGUAU
Long non-coding RNA from Bos taurus (domestic cattle), 1400 nucleotides. The record is from Ensembl. Lineage: Eukaryota; Metazoa; Chordata; Mammalia; Artiodactyla; Bovidae.